Dipodomys ordii (Ord's kangaroo rat) is the source of this 45-nucleotide non-coding RNA. The record is from Rfam. Lineage: Eukaryota; Metazoa; Chordata; Mammalia; Rodentia; Heteromyidae.
UCAACGGCUCUUUUCAGAGCCACCCACACAUUCAAUUCAAAAGAG